Non-coding RNA from Pelobates cultripes (western spadefoot toad), 451 nucleotides. The record is from the annotation of a GenBank genome assembly. Lineage: Eukaryota; Metazoa; Chordata; Amphibia; Anura; Pelobatidae.
GGUGACACAGUGACAGAGUUAGGAGGGAGUGACUAGUGACUAGUGACAGUCACCCCUUCCCUCACUCUGUCACUAGUCACUCACUCUGUCACCUGUCACUCCCUCACUCUGUCACUAGAGUGAGGGGGUGACUAGUGACAGAGUGAGGGAAGGGGUGACUAGUGGCAGAGUGAGGGAAGGGGUGACUAGUGGCAGAGUGAGGGAAGGGGUGACUAGUGGCAGAGUGAGGGAAGGAAGGGGUGACUAGUGACAGAGUGAGGGAGGUGGUGACUGUUACUAGUCACCACCUCCCUCUGUCACUACUCCCUCCCUCCUUCUGUCACUACUCCCUCCCUUCUUCUGUCACCAGUCACCCCCUCCCUCACUCUGUCACCAGUCAUCCCCUCCCUCACUCUGUCACCAGUCAUCCCCUUCCCUCACUCUGUCACCCCCUCACUCUAGUGACAGAGUG